CGGCGGACGGGUGAGUAACACGUGGAUAACCUACCUAUAAGACUGGGAUAACUUCGGGAAACCGGAGCUAAUACCGGAUAAUAUUUUGAACCGCAUGGUUCAAAAGUGAAAGACGGUCUUGCUGUCACUUAUAGAUGGAUCCGCGCUGCAUUAGCUAGUUGGUAAGGUAACGGCUUACCAAGGCAACGAUGCAUAGCCGACCUGAGAGGGUGAUCGGCACACUGGAACUGAGACACGGUCCAG
Molecule: ribosomal RNA, 243 nt
Filed under: uncultured Staphylococcus sp.
Lineage: Bacteria; Bacillati; Bacillota; Bacilli; Caryophanales; Staphylococcaceae
Description: partial 16S ribosomal RNA
Rfam family: Bacterial small subunit ribosomal RNA
Source: RNAcentral